GCACCGAUUCGUUGCGAAAACUAAAUAAUACCAAAACUUAUGAGUCGAGUUGGUAUUGUGACAUUGAGCGUUACCGCGCGCCGACACGAGGAUGUGACAUAAGCGACAUGUUACCCUACAUUAUGCUGAGAUGGAGGCACCCGCCAGUGUGAACAUAUAGUUUACGACGGGCUGCUUUCCUGACAUCAAUCAUAUUUCGAAACGCAGCCGCUAAAUGAAACGGUACGUCUGCUCCCGGGAGAGAGUUUCUCGGAGUUUCAGUGAGGAAUGAGUCUGGCAAGUCAGGCUCGACGGCCGGUAAGAAUGGCAGCGCGACUGUGCUCUGUAGAUCGGCUGAUUUACCAGGAGCUCCUGC
This is a long non-coding RNA of Bombyx mori (domestic silkworm), 355 nucleotides long. RefSeq lists it as uncharacterized. The record is from RefSeq and is a predicted model, not a curated record. The transcript is spliced from 3 exons. NCBI's taxonomy places the organism in Eukaryota, Metazoa, Arthropoda, Insecta, Lepidoptera, Bombycidae.